This 494-nucleotide ribosomal RNA is filed under the name uncultured bacterium. RNAcentral describes it as "bacterial SSU rRNA". It matches the Rfam family "Bacterial small subunit ribosomal RNA", at positions 29 to 518 of the family's 1533-position model. The record is from RNAcentral.
AUUGAACGCUGGCGGCAUGCCUUACACAUGCAAGUCGAACGGCAGCACGGGGGCAACCCUGGUGGCGAGUGGCGAACGGGUGAGUAACGCAUCGGAAUGUACCCAGUAGUGGGGGAUAACUAGUCGAAAGAUUAGCUAAUACCGCAUACGCACUGAGGUGGAAAGCGGGGGAUCGCAAGACCUCGCGCUAUUGGAGCAGCCGAUGUCCGAUUAGGUAGUUGGUGGGGUAAAGGCCUACCAAGCCUGCGAUCGGUAACUGGUCUGAGAGGACGACCAGUCACACUGGGACUGAGACACGGCCCAGACUCCUACGGGAGGCAGCAGUGGGGAAUUUUGGACAAUGGGCGCAAGCCUGAUCCAGCAAUGCCGCGUGUGUGAAGAAGGCCUCGGGUUGUAAAGCACUUUUGGCGGGAGCGAACGGCGUUUGCUAUAACCGAACGCUAAUGACGUACCCGGCAGAAUAAGCACCGGCUAACUAACGUGCCAGCAGCCGC